RNAcentral lists this small RNA (118 nucleotides) under Jeotgalibaca arthritidis. RNAcentral describes it as "Ribosomal protein L10 leader". It matches the Rfam family "Ribosomal protein L10 leader". Rfam says of the family: This family is a putative r-protein leader autoregulatory structure found in B. subtilis and other low-GC Gram-positive bacteria. It is located in the 5' untranslated regions of mRNAs encoding ribosomal proteins L10 and L12 (rplJ-rplL). A Rho-independent transcription terminator structure that is probably involved in regulation is included at the 3' end. The record is from RNAcentral. Lineage: Bacteria; Bacillati; Bacillota; Bacilli; Lactobacillales; Carnobacteriaceae.
UAAUUAUAUGUCUUACCGUAGACAGCAGGGGACGCAAGUCUUAAUAACCUGCCGAGGAAGAAUCCAGUUCAUAACAACGGAUCCUCUAUGUCUAGGUGGCAUAGAGUUUUUUGUUUAU